Molecule: long non-coding RNA, 1234 nt
Filed under: Nicotiana tabacum (common tobacco)
Lineage: Eukaryota; Viridiplantae; Streptophyta; Magnoliopsida; Solanales; Solanaceae
Description: long non-coding RNA (NTAB_LNC000492)
Source: RNAcentral
CGGUCGGUUUAGUAGAUUUUCAAAUAUCCAUUGACACCCCUGAUUGUGGUCAAAAAUCAACGACAACGACAAAGUUCUUCGAGUUUGUGUUUGACAGGUAAAAAUUUCCCCAUCUGCUUUCGUGUAAUUUCUUUUAUCGCCUUUCUUUUCUUUUCACAUGCCAAUCAAGUAAGAGUAAAUUAUCACAUGCAUGAAGAAGGUGAUCCUAGGGAACAAAGGGAUGGCAACUCAUCCCCGUCCGAAAACCGGUGAGAUAUUCUUCGGGCGCAAAGGAAUAUCAACUCAUCUAUUUACCAAAAGGUUGGUGGGAUAAUCUUCGGGCGCAAAAGGAAGGCAACUCAUCUCCGUCCAAAAAAUUAGUGGGAUAAUCGUCGGGCAAAAAGGUGCAUAUGGCAUAUAGCAAGACAAAUCCAUGGCAACAUAACGAAGGACAAACUCUCAACAACAUAUAGAAAAAUCAAGCCACAAGAAGACUAACUUAAGGUGCAAAGUGACUAAAAUGUCCACCUUAAAAUUGAAAAAUUAUAGUUCUUUUCAAGGACAAACCCGCAAAAAGGCCAACUUAAGGUACAAAGGGACUUAAACGUCCACCUUACAAUUGGAAAAUAAUAGUUCCUUUUAAGGACUAACCUGCAAAUAGGCCAACUUAAGAUGCAAAGGAACUUAUACAUCCACCUUAAGAUUGGAAAAUUAUAAAGCUCAACUGAUGACUUGAUGGACUUGACGACUUCAACUUGAACACUUGAACUUUGAAAACUUGGCGGACUUGAAAACUUCAACUUGAAGAGCAACAAACUUGAAGAUUUUGUAGACUUUAAGACUUUAAAUUGAAGAUUUGGCGGACUUGAAGAUUGGGCAGACUUUGACACUUCAACUUGAAGAGCGAUGGACAUGAAAACUUCAACUCGAAGAAUUAGCGGACUUGAAGACUAGCAGACCUGAAGGCUUGGAGGGAUUGAAUACUUCAACUUGAAGACCUGCGAACUUAAAAACAUCAGCUUGAAGACCGAUGGACUUGCAGACUACAACUUGAAUAUUUGGGGUCUUUCUAGAAUACUACCACCAUCUCAUCAGAGAUGUCUAUUUCUUAUGGAGGUUUUCCCCCAUAUAAACAUCAGUAUCUGAUAAGGCACAAAGCUCAAUGAAAGAAUACAUGUAAGUCCGAUUUUAAAGUGACAAAUCCAUUAUACUUCAAUUCGAACAAUGCUAGGGGCAAUAUAUAUUUUUGAACUCA